Molecule: ribosomal RNA, 468 nt
Filed under: uncultured bacterium
Lineage: Bacteria
Description: partial 16S ribosomal RNA
Rfam family: Bacterial small subunit ribosomal RNA
Source: RNAcentral
GACGAACGCUGGCGGCGUGCUUAACACAUGCAAGUCGAACGGAAAGGCCCUGCUUUUGUUGGGUACUCGAGUGGCGAACGGGUGAGUAACACGUGAGUAACCUGCCCUUGACUUUGGGAUAACUUCGGGAAACUGGGGCUAAUACCGGAUAGGAGCUCCUGCUGCAUGGUGGGGGUUGGAAAGGUUCGGCGGUUGGGGAUGGACUCGCGGCUUAUCAGCUUGUUGGUGGGGUAGUGGCUUACCAAGGCGUGGACCGGUAGCCGGACUGAGAGGGUGACCGGCCAGAUUGGGACUGAGAUGAGGCACAGACUACUACGGGACGCAGCAGUGGGGAAUAGUGCACAAUGGGCGGAAGGCUGAUGCAGCAACGCCGCGUGCGGGAUGAGGGCCUUCGGGUUGUAAACCGCUUUCGCCUGUGACGAAGCGUGAGUGACGGUAAUGGGUAAAGAAGCACCGGCUAACUACGUG